RNAcentral lists this long non-coding RNA (129 nucleotides) under Fukomys damarensis (Damara mole-rat). Its description in RNAcentral is "lncRNA (ENSFDAG00000027892.1)". Lineage: Eukaryota; Metazoa; Chordata; Mammalia; Rodentia; Bathyergidae. The record is from RNAcentral.
GAGAUUUUUAUCUUGUGGGGAGAAAUAUAAUAAGGUGCUCGCUAUACAAAACCUCAACUCAACCAUCAGGCAAAAGACAUUUUGUGAAGCAGCCACUUGUAUCCUGUGGGAUGGACCCUGAGUUCAAAU